RNAcentral lists this unclassified non-coding RNA (383 nucleotides) under Hevea brasiliensis (rubber tree). Lineage: Eukaryota; Viridiplantae; Streptophyta; Magnoliopsida; Malpighiales; Euphorbiaceae. The record is from RNAcentral.
AUUAAACGCAGAAAUUGCUACGCAGUAUUCAUAAAAUUAAAUAUUAUAAUAUCUAUAAGGAACUUCUUAGGAUAGUAUUAGGAUGACAAAAAAGUAUCAACCAAAGAAGAUGCAUGCACUGAAUGAAAUAGUGUACAGCACUGUCCACAACAUCUGCCAAUAAGCUUUUUAAUUUAAAAAGCUACACAUUGAUCUAACUUUACUACCUGAAACGGGCUGAAUACCUUAAAAUUAAACUUUCAUAAACAAGUAAAGUUGCUCAAAACAUUCAAUAUCAUAGAUAAAAGAAAGUAAACUUGAUGAACCAAAAAGGAAUAUUCCUCCUUUCCAAGGCUUACAGUAAUAAAUUACUUUGUGAUAUGUAGAAAUGCAACAGAAACCCA